ACGCGGUGAAUACGUUCCCGGGCCUUGUACACACCGCCCGUCAAGCCAUGAAAGCUGGGGGUACCUGAAGUACGUAACCGCAAGGAGCGUCCUAGGGUAAAACCGGUAAUUGGGGCU
Molecule: ribosomal RNA, 117 nt
Filed under: uncultured bacterium
Lineage: Bacteria
Description: partial 16S ribosomal RNA
Rfam family: Bacterial small subunit ribosomal RNA
Source: RNAcentral